Long non-coding RNA from Scleropages formosus (Asian bonytongue), 707 nucleotides. RefSeq lists it as uncharacterized. The transcript is spliced from 5 exons. Lineage: Eukaryota; Metazoa; Chordata; Actinopteri; Osteoglossiformes; Osteoglossidae. The record is from RefSeq and is a predicted model, not a curated record.
AAGCGUUGUGAGGCCGUGCAGGAGCCGAUUUUUUACACCGUGUUUUUAUUGCGGCUCUUCCUGACAAUUUGGUAGAAGCUGUGCAGAGUAAAAAGAGGUUGAGUACAGUGAGAUACGGGUUGGAAUUUGGUCUCUUCCUUCUUGACGGACCACAUAACGUUUUCGGCUUCUACUUUCGCUCUGCUUGCUGACCUGGAUUUCGGAUUUGCCCCACGGAUCAAAACUACCAACUCGAUUUUGACCCGGACCUUGACCACGGCUCUUCUUCAUCACCACACCACAACAACCACUGCCACUGAGUCUCUUCAAUUACUUGGGUCACUUGGGUCCAACCUCUUGUCUUCUUGCAUCCUCUGAUUAUUACAGUUUGGAGCAAGGCCCAGCCCGAAAAAGGUACCUACAGCACCUUCCUGUGUGAAUAUAUCACAAUUAUGUCGUCGGAGUCCAAACUGAAGAACGAGCCACAAAAAGCCGAAGAAUGGGCGUGGGGGAAACGCGUCGUGAGCAAGAUUCUGGAAGCGGUCCACCAUCAGUGUGAAGCCAGUCAAAGUGUGGAAUGUCCCCAGAGCACACAGGCUUGCCUCUCUCUGAGCCACAGCUGCGAAGCUGUUCUGAAGAAUCACUCUGAAUGUGCAUGAACUUUCCCUUCCAUAUUAAAAACAUCUUCACUGGGUGCCUCCCAAACUCAGCCGGCUUUGCUUGUCAUC